GGUAAAAUGCACUGAAUUUAUAAAGUGUUUAUUUCAUUAACCGGCAGUUGGUAAAUACCACUGUUAGGGGCUGUUAGUUCCUAAUGGUAUCAUCCGCUUAGUCGUAAUUUCUUGUUCUUUAGAAAUGACAUGAUUUGUAAGUAUUUAAAGUUCUUUGCUUAAAGUUUGGACUGCAUAAAUACACUGGAACUUAAUGAUCUUUACUUAUAUGACAAAUAAAGUACCUAACCUGAAUUGCAAAAUGGAUCUACGUCCAGCUUAGACGUGGAUAAACUGUUGGGUGAAAUUUUGCAUGCGUUUAUUAAAUAAAAAACGUGGCUUAUAUAGAUACCUAUAAAAAGGAAGAUGUGGUUAUUUUCAUUUUCGAACAAACCAGUAUAUAAAAAUUUCGAAUCCAGUUAGUUCAUUCUCGCUGUCGUAUGCAAGUAUGUCUAUUGUAGAAUAAAGCUUAAGGAUGAUGGGAAAUAUAUGUAAUAAAUGAUUCGAAAGUAUAUUUUAACACAAUUUCAUUAGAAUGUAACUUUUUAAUGUAUAAUAAUAAGAUUAAAGUCUGAAAAGUGUAAUUAAAGCAGCAGAAUACAUAAUAUUGAUUACUGAAUGCGUUUCAUUUUAACAAUAAAUGCGAUGAAUUAUCAAUUAUGAAGUGCGAUUAUUUCUGAUGUGGAAAUUUAGAAGGUGCAAUGAAUUUUCAUGAUUAUUUUUUUUGAUAUUUCGACAUGCGACAACAUAAAUUGUCUUUUAAGGACUUCAAUAUUGAUGAUAUUUACAAUUUGAAAUGCAAGCUAGUCGUAGACGCUUACUUGAUUGUACACGGUUAUAACAAACAUCGAAUUUUUCUGCAAGUCGUUGCGUGCUUUCUGUAUAAUUCUAAACCGUUCGUUAGUAACACACCGAGAACAUCAUUUGCUAUUUCUAUUGAAACUGGAAAACACCCGCGUUAUUUCGGUUCCAUGACUAAAUAAGGGUAUCAAAUUAUAUAUAAGCCUUAUUUCUAACAGGGAUUUUAUGUUCUCGUAUGUCAUGUUUUAAUUAUAUAUGUAGAACACUUUGUAAGGGGCUCAAUUGAUGCAAUUGACAUAGUAAACAAACUAAAAGAUAACCUCUACAUGGUGGCAAGUGAAGGUGAGGAAUAAUACUUCUUUAAAUUAUGUCUGUAAAACUCUGUUUGACAUCUGCCUCAAACUUAAAUUAAAAAAAGAUAUAAUCAUAUCAUUAUGUGUAACACACAAGAGAAAAUGUAAGAAAAUAAACUUCUG
This 1256-nucleotide long non-coding RNA is filed under the name Mytilus galloprovincialis (Mediterranean mussel). The record is from RNAcentral. Lineage: Eukaryota; Metazoa; Mollusca; Bivalvia; Mytilida; Mytilidae.